This 505-nucleotide ribosomal RNA is filed under the name uncultured bacterium. RNAcentral's name for it is "bacterial SSU rRNA". It matches the Rfam family "Bacterial small subunit ribosomal RNA", at positions 18 to 518 of the family's 1533-position model. The record is from RNAcentral.
CCUGGCUCAGGAUGAACGCUAGCGACAGGCCUAACACAUGCAAGUCAGGGGCAGCACAAGGAGCAAUCUGAGGUGGCGACCGGCGCACGGGUGAGUAACACGUAUGCAACCUGCCUGUAAGCGGGGAAUAACCCGUUGAAAGACGGACUAAUACCGCAUAAUACUAAAUUACUGCAUGGUAAUUUAUUUAAACAUUUAUGGCUUACAGAUGGGCAUGCGCAUGAUUAGCUAGUUGGAGAGGUAACGGCUCCCCAAGGCAACGAUCAUUAGGGGUUCUGAGAGGAAGGUCCCCCCACACUGGUACUGAGACACGGACCAGACUCCUACGGGAGGCAGCAGUGAGGAAUAUUGGUCAAUGGACGAGAGUCUGAACCAGCCAAGUCGCGUGCAGGAAGAAUGUCCUAUGGAUUGUAAACUGCUUUUGCAGGGGAAUAAAGUGCAUCACGUGUGAUGUUUUGUAUGUACUCUGCGAAUAAGGAUCGGCUAACUCCGUGCCAGCCGCAGC